Molecule: unclassified non-coding RNA, 2146 nt
Filed under: Hevea brasiliensis (rubber tree)
Lineage: Eukaryota; Viridiplantae; Streptophyta; Magnoliopsida; Malpighiales; Euphorbiaceae
Source: RNAcentral
UUACUAGAGGAUUGAUGAAAUGAAUACCCAAAUAUGAAUCCAUCUGGCUAGGCAUAUUCGGAGAUAUUUGUUAACAAAGUUAGUAGUGUCAGGGUAGUAGCUACUUGUAAAGAAGCAGCAGCUAUAAAAUCUGCACUAGAACAAACCUACUAUUGUUAUUAUUAUUUACAAAAGAGACCGAGGAAAACUUCAAUUUGACACUUCACCCCCCAAGCGUGCAAUAAACAAAUUUCUACAGUCACACAGGUUAUAUAAAUAAAACCUUGGAAAGAUGCAUCCAAGUUCCACUCGUGUGAAUUGGCUUUCUUCUAUAUAUAUAUAUAUACAUGUUGAGUUGACCUUCAUACUGAUAAUAUAGAUUUUGACCCUCACCUAAACUUCAUAUCCUGGGAACCUUGACAUUUCAGGUGCAAGAAGAUCAAACCAGAGGCAAGCUGUUCCAGCAAGUCCUUGAAAAAGAGAGUAAGCAUGAUCAGCUCCGCGAACAUGUCCUCCAGGCACUAAUUUACUCGCAUUGUUAUACAAGAAGCUUGCAAAUGCCUUGGCUCGCUCUUCGUAUAUGCUAUCUCCUGUAAGACGGUAAAGGGAAAGGAAGGCAUAUGCAUUUCCAGCCACACCAUCAGCAAGUCCCACCUUCUUCACUAAUCCACUCUUCCACACAACUUCCCCUGCUUCUAUAGCGGCAUCACGAAAUUCCCUAUCAUUUGGGAAAACCUGUAUGAACAAAGGAGGAGUUAACACCAAGCCCUUACAAUUUGGCUCAUGUAUCUAUUAGCUCUGCUUGGUUUUGUGCUCUAUUAUUAUUCCAUUCUUCAGUCAUGAUUAUAAUAAUCCUAGCCAACAACAGAUGCUCUGUACCACGUCUCAGAUGUUCAUAUUUACCAUCGAAGCACUAUUGGAGAAAGCAAAUUGUUAAUUACUACCUGGAUUACCUUUAAAGUUUAAACUCGACCAAAGUACCAAUUCAAGUGAUUUAUUUUGUAAAUUAGCAAUUAACUGAUGAAAUCUACACAGGUAUGUUUAGUGAGGGAAAAUUUUAGCAUCGUAAAUCCACACUACUAUGUAGAAAAGGUGUUGGAAUAGCUGGAUCCUGAAGGCCAAAAGUUCAUUUAGUUACAAUUAAUAUUGAAUAAGCUCAAUAAAGAAUUAUACUUUAUUAAUUAUUACCUGUGAUGCCUUGCACAGGGUGAUGGCCAUGCCAGUAGCACCAUGAGACCACUGCAUCAAUUUGUCCCUUGGGUUUCCUUCACUUGAUGGGUAAUUUCCACUACGAAGGAACCUUUUACUCAUCAUGUACCUUAAAGUCCCCUUAACAUCCUCAGCAUCCUCUUUGGAGAGAGGAAAGUGAAGUAGAACUUGCAGGAUUCCAGCAAGGCCAUUAGCUGCUCCCCAGUACCUUGUCCCAUGCCAUCUGUACAUCAGGGGGCAGGCUGGAUUAUCAGAUGAUCCUGCCCUGCCCCCAGCUAACACAGCAUCAACAACAGGCAUGAGAAGAUCACUUGGCAAUGUCCCUUCUCCUAGACGUUGAUUCAGAAACAAAGCAGACCAUAAAAAUCCAGCUCGCCCAUACAUAAGGUCAUAUGACAUUCCAAAACCGCCUUCCUCUGGUCCGAUUGGGAGCGCUCUCUCUUGUGCUACCUCAAGGAAGAGGUUCAAAAACAGGUCGCGUCGUCGUUGAUCUCCUUUGUAAUUAGCAAUCACAGCUCCAAGAGCAUAUAUUCCACCUCUACCACAUAAAAAGGUCACAUGCCUCGAAGAUGCAGGUGCAACAGCGGCACACGUGUCAACGAUCUCCGAGCAUAACAACAAGUCUUUCUGGUUACCGGUAACCUCGUACGACCGCAAGCAGGUGAAAGCCGUUCCCAGCAGACCCGAAUAAACCGUCGGGUCAACAACCGUAUCCGUACCCACACUACUACCACGACCUCCUGUCCACGUCAUCUCCACCACCUGGUCCUUGAGAGAAAUGGCUGCUUUGAGAAAAGAUUCGUUAGGAAGUGAAAAAUUGGCAGCCGUUAGAUCCAUAUGAAGAAUAAAAUCUAGCCGUUCGUUGUUCUUAUCGCCGUCCUCAUGGCUCUCUUGAGAAGCAAACUCCACAGCAGGAGACAUGGCAUCUCUCACGGACUCUUAAAAACUCACAUAACUG